RNAcentral lists this ribosomal RNA (253 nucleotides) under uncultured bacterium. RNAcentral describes it as "partial 16S ribosomal RNA". It matches the Rfam family "Bacterial small subunit ribosomal RNA", at positions 524 to 776 of the family's 1533-position model. The record is from RNAcentral.
UACGUAGGGUGCGAGCGUUAAUCGGAAUUACUGGGCGUAAAGUGUUCGCAGGCGGCCGAGCAAGUCGAGUGUGAAAGCCCCGAGCUUAACUUGGGAACUGCGCUCGAAACUACUUGGCUAGAGUGUGGCAGAGGGAGGUGGAAUUCCACGUGUAGCGGUGAAAUGCGUAGAGAUGUGGAGGAACACCGAUGGCGAAGGCAGCCUCCUGGGCCAACACUGACGCUCAUGCACGAAAGCGUGGGGAGCAAACAGG